AAUCAAAUAAGUUCACACAUUCACAUAUAAAGAUAAAUAAAAAAAAUAAUAUUAACACUGGAUUGAACAAAUUAAGAGAUUGGUAGGAAAGAACUUUUAGCGUCUACUAAAUAUGUUCACAUUAUUAUUGUUAAGCAUAUAAGGAUUACUAUCAGAAAGAUUGCACAGAUAAGAUGAUGUCAAAAUAGAUAAAACAAUGGUCAAGCCAUUCAUAAUUACCAUCAGAAGUAACUCAAUUGAAGAUAGAGUCAAGAAAGUAGCUAAAGCAAGCUAUGAAAACAUAUAGGGAAAAGAACAAACAAUGGAAGAACCAAGAUGUCUGCUUGAAGGACAUCAACAAGACCAUUAAACAAAGAUGGUACUUGUUCAACACCAGCAUGAAAAGAUUAACCUCACUAGUUAGUAGAACUAGUUAACCACCAAGAGAAACAAAAUUAGAUCAGAAAUAGGGAGAAAAAACUACAUAAAUAAGCCA
Molecule: unclassified non-coding RNA, 475 nt
Filed under: Hevea brasiliensis (rubber tree)
Lineage: Eukaryota; Viridiplantae; Streptophyta; Magnoliopsida; Malpighiales; Euphorbiaceae
Source: RNAcentral